Molecule: ribosomal RNA, 525 nt
Filed under: uncultured bacterium
Lineage: Bacteria
Description: bacterial SSU rRNA
Rfam family: Bacterial small subunit ribosomal RNA
Source: RNAcentral
AAUAGAUACCCCGGUAGUCCUAGCAGUAAACGGUGCGCGUUUGGUGUAGGAGGAUUCGACCCCUUCUGUGCCGGAGCUAACGCGCUAAACGCGCCGCCUGGGGAGUACGGUCGCAAGAUUAAAACUCAAAGAAAUUGACGGGGGCCCGCACAAGCGGUGGAGUAUGUGGCUUAAUUCGAUGCAACGCGAAGAACCUUACCUGGGCUUGACAUGCAUCUCUCAGUCGGUGAAAGCCGGCGAGUCCCGCAAGGGACAAUUUGCACAGGUGCUGCAUGGCUGUCGUCAGCUCGUGUCGUGAGAUGUUGGGUUAAGUCCCGCAACGAGCGCAACCCUCGCCUUUAGUUGCCAUCAGGUUGGGCUGGGCACUCUAAAGGGGCUGCCGGUGACAAACCGGAGGAAGGUGGGGAUGACGUCAAGUCAGCAUGCCCCUUAGUCCUGGGCGACACACGUACUACAAUGCUACAGACAAAGGGCAGCAAGCCAGCGAUGGCAAGCCAAUCCCAUAAACCGUGGCUCAGUUCAGAC